Molecule: ribosomal RNA, 475 nt
Filed under: uncultured organism
Description: partial 16S ribosomal RNA
Rfam family: Bacterial small subunit ribosomal RNA
Source: RNAcentral
GUACACUCCUGCGGGAGGCAGCAGUGGGGAAUUUUGGACAAUGGGGGCAACCCUGAUCCAGCAAUGCCGCGUGAGUGAAGAAGGCCUUCGGGUUGUAAAGCUCUUUUGUCAGGGAAGAAACGGUGGUGGCGAAUAACUACUACUAAUGACGGUACCUGAAGAAUAAGCACCGGCUAACUACGUGCCAGCAGCCGCGGUAAUACGUAGGGUGCAAGCGUUAAUCGGAAUUACUGGGCGUAAAGCGUGCGCAGGCGGUUGUGUAAGUCAGAUGUGAAAUCCCCGGGCUCAACCUGGGAAUUGCAUUUGAGACUGCACGGCUAGAGUGUGUCAGAGGGGGGUAGAAUUCCACGUGUAGCAGUGAAAUGCGUAGAUAUGUGGAGGAAUACCGAUGGCGAAGGCAGCCCCCUGGGAUAACACUGACGCUCAUGCACGAAAGCGUGGGGAGCAAACAGGAUUAGAUACCCGGGUAGUCCCA